RNAcentral lists this ribosomal RNA (403 nucleotides) under uncultured bacterium. RNAcentral's name for it is "partial 16S ribosomal RNA". It matches the Rfam family "Bacterial small subunit ribosomal RNA", at positions 29 to 526 of the family's 1533-position model. The record is from RNAcentral.
AACGAACGCUGGCGGCGUGCCUAAUACAUGCAAGUCGAACGCAGGGGGGACGAGUGAGUAACACGUGGGUAACCUCCCAUCAGAGGGGAUAAAACUUGGAAACAGGUGCUAAACCGAUACUGAUGGAGGAACCCGCGGUGCAUUAGCUAGUUGGUGGGGUAACGGCUCACCAAGGCCACGCUGCAUAGCCGACCUUGUAGGGUGAUCGGCCACACGAGGACUGGGAUACGGCCCAGAUGCCUACGUGAGGCAGCAGUAGGGAAUCUUCGGCAAUGGACGAAAGUCUGAACGAGCAACGCCGCGUGAGUGAAGAAGGUUUUCGGAUCGUAAAACUCUGUUGUUAGAGAGGCGGUAUCUAACCAGAAAGCCACGGCUAACUACGUGCCAGCAGCCGCGGUAAUAC